ACGACUACAUAUCAGGCAUAUCAAUAAGCGGAGGAAAAGAAACUAACAAGGAUUCCCCUAGUAACGGCGAGUGAAGCGGGAAGAGCUCAAAUUUGAAAUCUUCAAGGUUCUACCUUGACGAAUUGUAGUUUAAAGAAGUGUUUUCGGUUAGAGGAGUAGUAAAGUUCUUUGGAAUAGGACAUCAUAGAGGGUGAGAAUCCCGUAUUUGACUAUUCUUUCUAGCUUUGUGAUACACUUUCAAAGAGUCGGAUUGUUUGGGAAUGCAGUCCAAAAUGGGUGGUAAAUUUCAUCUAAAGCUAAAUAUUGGCGAGAGACCGAUAGCGAACAAGUACCGUGAGGGAAAGAUGAAAAGAACUUUGAAAAGAGAGUUAAACAGGUACGUGAAAUUGUCAAAAGGGAAGCGUUUGACACCAGUGUUGUUUUCUACGAAAAUCAAUUUAAAUAUGCUUGAUGCUAAGCUAGUAUGACUUAUCCGCUUGUUGUUUAGUUUUCUGUGUCAUUUGUGAUGCACUUUUCGUGUAACAAGUCAACAUCAAUUUCUUUUGCUGUAAAAGGGUAGAAGGAAGGUGGCUUUCGCUUCGGUUGAAGUGUUUAUAGCCUUUAUGCCUCUGCAGGUCGGAGAGAUCGAGGUCUGCAGCGUAGACUCUUCGGGGUUAGAUACGUCUGUGCUAAGCUAUAGCUUUGUCAUAGACAACAUUGUUGACUAUGUUUAGUCAUGUAGCUUACCCGCUAGCUAUUUUACCUACGCUUAGGAUGUUGACACACGCGCGUGCUCG
RNAcentral lists this ribosomal RNA (776 nucleotides) under uncultured Neocallimastigales. Its description in RNAcentral is "partial large subunit ribosomal RNA". It matches the Rfam family "Eukaryotic large subunit ribosomal RNA", at positions 24 to 643 of the family's 3401-position model. The record is from RNAcentral. Lineage: Eukaryota; Fungi; Neocallimastigomycota; Neocallimastigomycetes; Neocallimastigales.